This 434-nucleotide ribosomal RNA is filed under the name uncultured Blautia sp. RNAcentral's name for it is "partial 16S ribosomal RNA". It matches the Rfam family "Bacterial small subunit ribosomal RNA", at positions 341 to 792 of the family's 1533-position model. The record is from RNAcentral. Lineage: Bacteria; Bacillati; Bacillota; Clostridia; Lachnospirales; Lachnospiraceae.
ACGGGAGGCAGCAGUGGGGAAUAUUGCACAAUGGGGGAAACCCUGAUGCAGCGACGCCGCGUGAAGGAAGAAGUAUCUCGGUAUGUAAACUUCUAUCAGCAGGGAAGAUAAUGACGGUACCUGACUAAGAAGCCCCGGCUAACUACGUGCCAGCAGCCGCGGUAAUACGUAGGGGGCAAGCGUUAUCCGGAUUUACUGGGUGUAAAGGGAGCGUAGACGGCUGUGCAAGUCUGAAAUGAAAGGCAGGGGCUCAACCCCUGGACUGCUUUGGAAACUGUAUGGCUUGAGUGCCGGAGGGGUAAGCGGAAUUCCUAGUGUAGCGGUGAAAUGCGUAGAUAUUAGGAGGAACACCAGUGGCGAAGGCGGCUUACUGGACUGUAACUGACACUGAGGCUCGAAAGCGUGGGGAGCAAACAGGAUUAGAUACCCUGGUA